UACGAAGGGGGCGAGCGUUGUUCGGAUUUACUGGGCGUAAAGGGCGCGUAGGCGGCCUGCUAAGUCGGAUGUGAAAUCCCUCGGCUCAACCGGGGAACUGCAUCCGAUACUGGCGGGCUUGAAUCCGGGAGAGGGAUGUGGAAUUCCAGGUGUAGCGGUGAAAUGCGUAGAUAUCUGGAGGAACACCGGUGGCGAAGGCGGCAUCCUGGACCGGUAUUGACGCUGAGGCGCGAAAGCGUGGGGAGCGAACAGG
Molecule: ribosomal RNA, 253 nt
Filed under: uncultured bacterium
Lineage: Bacteria
Description: partial 16S ribosomal RNA
Rfam family: Bacterial small subunit ribosomal RNA
Source: RNAcentral